UGAAAGCCAGGCCACUGACUGAAUGAUUAAGUCUGUGCUGGACAUGACAAUGAAUUUAACCCUCUUGCCAGCCUAGGAGAGCACACAGAUGCAGGAAGAGGAUUGAAAACCUACUUUUCAAUUUUCUCUUCUUCCUCACCCCUGCUCUAAUUUGCCUGACCUGUUUCCUUUCAAAACCUUGCUGUUAUCAGUACCUUGUCCAUUUUCACUCUGUUUCUCUUUGUAGACUAAUUCCUUGCUGCUUCCUCAUGGGAGAUAAACUCAUGCUCAUGUAAGAAGAACAUCUGUCUUGGGCUAGGAGGAGCACAGGAAGAUGCCUUUAUCUCAAGAGCUAGGAAAUAAGGCAACUGUAUUAAAUUGUCAAGGGAGGACAGCAGACCAACAAGGAUGAAGAAGCUUGAAAAAUUCUUCAUUGCAGGGUCCACUCAUUGUCUCUAAUGAUUUGCUGCUCCUCAAAAGAAUGUCUACACUCCCGAUCGCCCCUUUUGCCAUGAGAAAAGUUGAUUUUCACUGAACCUUCAGAGGGUGAAGAGGAAGCUUUUCCUUGACUUCUACACAGGCUGGAAAUAAAUAACCUCCGCUUAGGACACCCCUGGCAGGGGCUUUCCAAACCACUUCCAACCCUGGAGAGAAAGAUAAUGAUGUGCCCAAACAAAUCAAUGGUCCCUACUUGCACCUAUCAAACUGGCCAUGCCCAUGCCCAUUCUGGGCCCAUAUGGAAGCUCUCUUUGCACCUUUUGGUUGACCUCUGAGGAGCAGCUUGGAUACCUUCUUCCCCUUAACACUGUAGAGGCUCUCUGCAACAGAACUCCCUACAUCUCACAGCACCAGCCUCCGUUCUCCUACCAAGUGUGAUUUGUGUGUCUAGCCUUCUCUAGGACUUCUGCCAGAUUGGCCUCUCUUCAGGUACAGCUAGGAGAGCCACAUUCAAAACCAAGAAGAGAAAGGAGUCAUAGAGCCACAGCCAGAAUGUUUAGGAUCCAAGGUGGCUGCCAGGACUCCAGAUGUCACAUCCCUUUCCCAAGCAGCAGGAUGGAGAGAGAAAGAGAGAAGGUCGUCCAGUCUCUCUUUGAAAAGACUUCCUGGAAGAAUUGCACAUCUGCAGAUGUUCCGUGGAGCAUCAUCACCAAAAAUGCACACGAAACUGCCACUAGAAGCAAAUGGAGGAAGCACACAGCAGGACUGGGUGUCUUUAAUUGCCAUUGCGAACGUGUGUCCAUCUGCACCACGUGAAUGAUUUGCGGCACAGCCGGGACCUGGCUCAGUUCUCUUGACACAUACAUCAACUCACAAGCACUGAAGUGGCAAGGCUGUUUGCAGAAGACAUUUAAGGCAAAAAUAGAUUGCAUCUUAAAAGUGAGUGAACUCCUUUAUAUGGGAUAAUCUAGGCACUGAUAUCUUUCCUUCCUAAUCAUAGCAAAAUCUAUCUUAUUUAUUAUUUCAGCUAAAGGAAAGGAAAAAUUGAGAUUUGUGUUUUAAACCAUACCUAGAUAGAUGAUAUCACUGCUGCUGUGAAAAAUAUUUUCAAGUCAGUGAUUUGUUACUUAAUUUUGGAAAUUAGUAAAAACCCUGCAAGUCAUUUUUUUUUUUAGCAUUGUUCUUAGUUUUCCAAUCUGCCCUUGAGGUCUUGCCUUUAAUCAUUAAGUAUGUAUGUUAGAGUUUGCUGCAAGAACAUUGAAACUUCAAAUUUGUUUAAAUUAACAAAUUCAAGGCCAACUAGUCAGUAGAUAGAAUGAUGAGGUGAGAGUUGGUGGCCAUCCCAAGCUCUGUGUUAACCAGGACCAAAUCAUUUAACCACUUCCUUGGCACUUCUAUUUGUUAGGUGAGAAUUAAUUGAUUCAUUUAUUCAGUUGUUUUGUACGCUGGAAGAAAUGCUUCAUUCAUUUAUUUCAUUUAUUCUUUAAGUGUCCAAGUGAUGUAUCAAAUACUGGUGAUUAAAAGAAAUUGCACAAAAUAAGACUUUUAAGCUGAGGAGCUCAGAGUUUACUAGAAGCGACACACAUAUAAAAAGAUGAAACACAGACUAACACAUACCCGGCAAGAUAAGAACCAAGUACAGAGUGCUGGAACAGAGGGUACCGUGUCUGUUUAGGUGGCUGCAAAGAUCUCCAGGACGUACCCAGGUGCAGAAGCCAUGCAGGCAUGAAGCCUGAGGGUUGCAUCUAUGGUAACAGCAGUACAGUGCUAUCUCCAAGGAACAGGAGGACAUUCUGAGAGAGGACAAUGUAGAGUUUGGUGGUACAACGGCAGUGGAUGACAUGGGAUAGAAUAAGAUGAGAUAGAAAUUUUGUGACAGGCCAGGUGCGGUGGCUCACGCCUGUAAUCCCAGCACUUUGGGAGGC
RNAcentral lists this long non-coding RNA (2342 nucleotides) under Homo sapiens (human). RNAcentral describes it as "HSALNT0380298". The record is from RNAcentral. Lineage: Eukaryota; Metazoa; Chordata; Mammalia; Primates; Hominidae.